GCCUCGGUAGUUUAAUGGAUCAGCACAGCAGACCGGAUAUCUGUAAGUGCGUAUUCAAGUCACGCCUGAGGUU
This 73-nucleotide transfer RNA is filed under the name Dictyocaulus viviparus (bovine lungworm). It matches the Rfam family "tRNA". Rfam says of the family: Transfer RNA (tRNA) molecules are approximately 80 nucleotides in length. Their secondary structure includes four short double-helical elements and three loops (D, anti-codon, and T loops). Further hydrogen bonds mediate the characteristic L-shaped molecular structure. tRNAs have two regions of fundamental functional importance: the anti-codon, which is responsible for specific mRNA codon recognition, and the 3' end, to which the tRNAs corresponding amino acid is attached (by aminoacyl-tRNA synthetases). tRNAs cope with the degeneracy of the genetic code in two manners: having more than one tRNA (with a specific anti-codon) for a particular amino acid; and 'wobble' base-pairing, i.e. permitting non-standard base-pairing at the 3rd anti-codon position. Lineage: Eukaryota; Metazoa; Nematoda; Chromadorea; Rhabditida; Metastrongylidae. The record is from Rfam by way of RNAcentral.